This is a non-coding RNA of Lepisosteus oculatus (spotted gar), 119 nucleotides long. The record is from Rfam. Lineage: Eukaryota; Metazoa; Chordata; Actinopteri; Semionotiformes; Lepisosteidae.
GCCAGCAGACAUAUCACUCUGCAACUCACAACUGGCAACCCACUGAAGCUCAGCAGGUGUGAGCCUGGUCAGUACCUGGAUGGGAGACCUCCUGGGAAAAGCUAAGUUUGCCGCUGGAA